Molecule: ribosomal RNA, 407 nt
Filed under: uncultured Streptomyces sp.
Lineage: Bacteria; Bacillati; Actinomycetota; Actinomycetes; Kitasatosporales; Streptomycetaceae
Description: bacterial SSU rRNA
Rfam family: Bacterial small subunit ribosomal RNA
Source: RNAcentral
UGGGGAAUAUUGCACAAUGGGCGAAAGCCUGAUGCAGCGACGCCGCGUGAGGGAUGACGGCCUUCGGGUUGUAAACCUCUUUCAGCAGGGAAGAAGCGCAAGUGACGGUACCUGCAGAAGAAGCACCGGCUAACUACGUGCCAGCAGCCGCGGUAAUACGUAGGGUGCGAGCGUUGUCCGGAAUUAUUGGGCGUAAAGAGCUCGUAGGCGGUCUGUCGCGUCGGAUGUGAAAGCCCGGGGCUUAACUCCGGGUCUGCAUUCGAUACGGGCAGACUAGAGUGUGGUAGGGGAGAUCGGAAUUCCUGGUGUAGCGGUGAAAUGCGCAGAUAUCAGGAGGAACACCGGUGGCGAAGGCGGAUCUCUGGGCCAUUACUGACGCUGAGGAGCGAAAGCGUGGGGAGCGAACA